This 2917-nucleotide ribosomal RNA is filed under the name Klebsiella pneumoniae. Its description in RNAcentral is "23S ribosomal RNA". It matches the Rfam family "Bacterial large subunit ribosomal RNA". The record is from RNAcentral. Lineage: Bacteria; Pseudomonadati; Pseudomonadota; Gammaproteobacteria; Enterobacterales; Enterobacteriaceae.
GGGUUGUGAGGUUAAGCGACUAAGCGUACACGGUGGAUGCCCUGGCAGUCAGAGGCGAUGAAGGACGUGCUAAUCUGCGAAAAGCGUCGGUAAGGUGAUAUGAACCGUUAUAACCGGCGAUGUCCGAAUGGGGAAACCCAGUGCAAUUCGUUGCACUAUCGUUAACUGAAUACAUAGGUUAACGAGGCGAACCGGGGGAACUGAAACAUCUAAGUACCCCGAGGAAAAGAAAUCAACCGAGAUUCCCCCAGUAGCGGCGAGCGAACGGGGAGCAGCCCAGAGUCUGAAUCAGCUUGUGUGUUAGUGGAACGGUCUGGAAAGUCCGACGGUACAGGGUGAUAGUCCCGUACACCAAAAUGCACAGGCUGUGAACUCGAAGAGUAGGGCGGGACACGUGGUAUCCUGUCUGAAUAUGGGGGGACCAUCCUCCAAGGCUAAAUACUCCUGACUGACCGAUAGUGAACCAGUACCGUGAGGGAAAGGCGAAAAGAACCCCGGCGAGGGAGUGAAAAAGAACCUGAAACCGUGUACGUACAAGCAGUGGGAGCACCUUCGGGUGUGACUGCGUACCUUUUGUAUAAUGGGUCAGCGACUUAUAUUCUGUAGCAAGGUUAACCGUAUAGGGGAGCCGCAGGGAAACCGAGUCUUAACUGGGCGUUAAGUUGCAGGGUAUAGACCCGAAACCCGGUGAUCUAGCCAUGGGCAGGUUGAAGGUUGGGUAACACUAACUGGAGGACCGAACCGACUAAUGUUGAAAAAUUAGCGGAUGACUUGUGGCUGGGGUGAAAGGCCAAUCAAACCGGGAGAUAGCUGGUUCUCCCCGAAAGCUAUUUAGGUAGCGCCUCGUGAAUUCAUCUUCGGGGUAGAGCACUGUUUCGGCUAGGGGUCAUCCCGACUUACCAACCCGAUGCAACUACGAAUACCGAAGAAUGUUAUCACGGGAGACACACGGCGGGUGCUAACGUCCGUCGUGAAGAGGGAAACAACCCAGACCGCCAGCUAAGGUCCCAAAGUCAUGGUUAAGUGGGAAACGAUGUGGGAAGGCACAGACAGCCAGGAUGUUGGCUUAGAAGCAGCCAUCAUUAAAGAAAGCGUAAUAGCUCACUGGUCGAGUCGGCCUGCGCGGAAGAUGUAACGGGGCUAAACCAUGCACCGAAGCUGCGGCAGCGACACUAUGUGUUGUUGGGUAGGGGAGCGUUCUGUAAGCCUGCGAAGGUGUGCUGUGAGGCAUGCUGGAGGUAUCAGAAGUGCGAAUGCUGACAUAAGUAACGAUAAAGCGGGUGAAAAGCCCGCUCGCCGGAAGACCAAGGGUUCCUGUCCAACGUUAAUCGGGGCAGGGUGAGUCGACCCCUAAGGCGAGGCCGAAAGGCGUAGUCGAUGGGAAACAGGUUAAUAUUCCUGUACUUGGUGUUACUGCGAAGGGGGGACGGAGAAGGCUAUGUUAGCCGGGCGACGGUUGUCCCGGUUUAAGCAUGUAGGCUGAUUAUCCAGGCAAAUCCGGAUAAUCAAGGCUGAGGUGUGAUGACGAGGCACUACGGUGCUGAAGUAACAAAUGCCCUGCUUCCAGGAAAAGCCUCUAAGCAUCAGGUAACAUCAAAUCGUACCCCAAACCGACACAGGUGGUCAGGUAGAGAAUACCAAGGCGCUUGAGAGAACUCGGGUGAAGGAACUAGGCAAAAUGGUGCCGUAACUUCGGGAGAAGGCACGCUGGUGUGUAGGUGAAGCCCCUGCGGGUGGAGCUGAGACCAGUCGAAGAUACCAGCUGGCUGCAACUGUUUAUUAAAAACACAGCACUGUGCAAACACGAAAGUGGACGUAUACGGUGUGACGCCUGCCCGGUGCCGGAAGGUUAAUUGAUGGGGUUAUCCGUAAGGAGAAGCUCUUGAUCGAAGCCCCGGUAAACGGCGGCCGUAACUAUAACGGUCCUAAGGUAGCGAAAUUCCUUGUCGGGUAAGUUCCGACCUGCACGAAUGGCGUAAUGAUGGCGGGCUGUCUCCACCCGAGACUCAGUGAAAUUGAACUCGCUGUGAAGAUGCAGUGUACCCGCGGCAAGACGGAAAGACCCCGUGAACCUUUACUAUAGCUUGACACUGAACAUUGAGCCUUGAUGUGUAGGAUAGGUGGGAGGCUUUGAAGCGUGGACGCCAGUCUGCGUGGAGCCAACCUUGAAAUACCACCCUUUAAUGUUUGAUGUUCUAACGUUGGCCCCUGACCGGGGUUGCGGACAGUGUCUGGUGGGUAGUUUGACUGGGGCGGUCUCCUCCCAAAGCGUAACGGAGGAGCACGAAGGUUAGCUAAUCCUGGGUCGGACAUCAGGAGGUUAGUGCAAUGGCAUAAGCUAGCUUGACUGCGAGCGUGACGGCGCGAGCAGGUGCGAAAGCAGGUCAUAGUGAUCCGGUGGUUCUGAAUGGAAGGGCCAUCGCUCAACGGAUAAAAGGUACUCCGGGGAUAACAGGCUGAUACCGCCCAAGAGUUCAUAUCGACGGCGGUGUUUGGCACCUCGAUGUCGGCUCAUCACAUCCCGGGCUGAAGUAGGUCCCAAAGGGUAUGGCUGUUCGCCAUUUAAAGUGGUACGCGAGCUGGGUUUAGAACGUCGUGAGACAGUUCGGUCCCUAUCUGCCGUGGGCGCUGGAGAAUUGAGGGGGGCUGCUCCUAGUACGAGAGGACCGGAGUGGACGCAUCACUGGUGUUCGGGUUGUCAUGCCAAUGGCACUGCCCGGUAGCUAAAUGCGGAAGAGAUAAGUGCUGAAAGCAUCUAAGCACGAAACUUGCCCCGAGAUGAGUUCUCCCUGAGACUUUAAGUCUCCUGAAGGAACGUUGAAGACGACGACGUUGAUAGGCCGGGUGUGUAAGCGCAGCGAUGCGUUGAGCUAACCGGUACUAAUGAACCGUGAGGCUUAACCUUACAACGCCGAAG